RNAcentral lists this ribosomal RNA (433 nucleotides) under uncultured bacterium. RNAcentral describes it as "bacterial SSU rRNA". It matches the Rfam family "Bacterial small subunit ribosomal RNA", at positions 8 to 447 of the family's 1533-position model. The record is from RNAcentral.
AGAGUUUGAUCCUGGCUCAGGACGAACGCUGGCGGCGUGCUUAACACAUGCAAGUCGAGCGGAAAGGCCCUUCGGGGUACUCGAGCGGCGAACGGGUGAGUAACACGUGAGCAACCUGCCCCUAGCUCUGGGAUAGCUCCGGGAAACCGGGAUUAAUACCAGAUACGACCACUUUAGACAUCUUUUGUGGUGGAAAGGAUUCCGGCUAGGGAUGGGCUCGCGGCCUAUCAGCUUGUUGGUGGAGUAACGGCCCACCAAGGCGACGACGGGUAGCCGGCCUGAGAGGGCGACCGGCCACACUGGGACUGAGACACGGCCCAGACUCCUACGGGAGGCAGCAGUGGGGAAUAUUGCGCAAUGGGCGAAAGCCUGACGCAGCGACGCCGCGUGGGGGAUGAAGGCCUUCGGGUUGUAAACCCCUUCAGCAGGGACG